This 328-nucleotide ribosomal RNA is filed under the name uncultured eukaryote. RNAcentral's name for it is "partial 18S ribosomal RNA". It matches the Rfam family "Eukaryotic small subunit ribosomal RNA", at positions 1470 to 1796 of the family's 1831-position model. The record is from RNAcentral.
CCCUUAGAUGUCCUGGGCCGCACGCGCGCUACACUGAUGCAUGCAACGAGUUUAUAACCUUGGCCUGAAAGGUCUGGGUAAUCUUUUGAACGUGCAUCGUGAUAGGGAUAGAUUAUUGCAAUUGUUAAUCUUGAACGAGGAAUUCCUAGUAAACGCGAGUCAUCAGCUCGCACUGAUUACGUCCCUGCCCUUUGUACACACCGCCCGUCGCACCUACCGAUUGAAUGGUUCGGUGAAGAUCUCGGACUUCGAUAUUUAUUCUUUAUUGAGUUUAUAUUGUGGGAAGUUAUCUAAACCUCAUCAUUUAGAGGAAGGUGAAGUCGUAACA